Molecule: small nucleolar RNA, 105 nt
Organism: Bos grunniens (domestic yak)
Lineage: Eukaryota; Metazoa; Chordata; Mammalia; Artiodactyla; Bovidae
Source: Ensembl
AUCCUUUUGUAGUUCAUGAGUGUGAUGAUUGGGUGUUCAUGAUGCUGCAUGACAUGUGCCUCCCUGCAAACCUUGUUAAGACACCGGCACAGUACCUGUCUGAUG